This 640-nucleotide ribosomal RNA is filed under the name uncultured Eubacteriales bacterium. Its description in RNAcentral is "bacterial SSU rRNA". It matches the Rfam family "Bacterial small subunit ribosomal RNA", at positions 66 to 708 of the family's 1533-position model. Lineage: Bacteria; Bacillati; Bacillota; Clostridia; Eubacteriales. The record is from RNAcentral.
ACGGGAUUUAGUAGACAGAAACCUCGGUGGAAGAUUACUAAUGAGAGUGGCGAACGGGUGAGUAACGCGUGAGCAACCUGCCUAUGACAGUGGGAUAGCCUCGGGAAACCGGGAUUAAUACCGCAUAAAAUCGUAGAAACACAUGUUUCAACGGUCAAAGAUUUAUCGGUCAUAGAUGGGCUCGCGUCUGAUUAGCUAGUUGGUGAGAUAACAGCCCACCAAGGCGACGAUCAGUAGCCGGUCUGAGAGGAUGAACGGCCACAUUGGAACUGAGACACGGUCCAAACUCCUACGGGAGGCAGCAGUGGGGAAUAUUGCACAAUGGGGGAAACCCUGAUGCAGCGACGCCGCGCGAACGAAGAAGGUAUUCGUAUCGUAAAGUUCUGUCCUAUGGGAAGAUAAUGACAGUACCAUAGAAGAAAGCUCCGGCUAAAUACGUGCCAGCAGCCGCGGUAAUACGUAUGGAGCGAGCGUUGUCCGGAAUUAUUGGGCGUAAAGGGUACGCAGGCGGUUUAAUAAGUCGAAUGUUAAAGAUCGGGGCUCAACCCCGUAAAGCAUUGGAAACUGAUAAACUUGAGUAGUGGAGAGGAAAGUGGAAUUCCUAGUGUAGUGGUGAAAUACGUAGAUAUUAGGAGGAAUA